Lineus longissimus is the source of this 386-nucleotide long non-coding RNA. RefSeq lists it as uncharacterized. The transcript has 5 exons. NCBI's taxonomy places the organism in Eukaryota, Metazoa, Nemertea, Pilidiophora, Heteronemertea, Lineidae. The record is from RefSeq and is a predicted model, not a curated record.
CUUGGAGCGAAGAUGCUCUGUACAAUUUGCAAUGAUGGUGACUUUGAACAAUCAAUGGAUUUUAGGCUUUAGAUCUAUUGAAGAUCUGCAUCAGAAAUUACUACCUCCAGAUUAUGAAUACAAGCAAGGAGGAUACCGCGGUGACGUCAUAUCACUUCGCAUCGUACCGCAUCACCUUACAAAGCUAUAAUGCAGACCGCUGUGUUUCUAGUUGGUUUGCUCUUCUUGGGACUCGUCUUCGCUGAUGAGGGGGCUGUCGAUGAGAGCUUUGGAAAAAAAUCGAGGAUGCAUACCUACUGGUUCAUUUUGUUUGGGCAAAACGCGAUGCUGUAGUGAUGUUGACUGCGGGUGGAGUCUCAGAUGCGAAAAAUCAAACCAGAAAUAGA